GGCUGGUCCCAGCACAGUGUGUUUACAACUAAUUGAUCACAACCAUUUACAGAUUCCUUUGUUCCUUCUCCACUCCCACUGCUUCACUUGACUAGCCUUAA
RNAcentral lists this Y RNA (101 nucleotides) under Microcebus murinus (gray mouse lemur). Its description in RNAcentral is "Y RNA (ENSMICG00000047483.1)". It matches the Rfam family "Y RNA". Rfam says of the family: Y RNAs are components of the Ro ribonucleoprotein particle (Ro RNP), in association with Ro60 and La proteins. The Y RNAs and Ro60 and La proteins are well conserved, but the function of the Ro RNP is not known. The record is from Rfam by way of RNAcentral. Lineage: Eukaryota; Metazoa; Chordata; Mammalia; Primates; Cheirogaleidae.